GCCAGGUGUGGUGGUGCAUGCCUAUAAUCCCAGAGACUUGGGAGGCUGAGGCAGGAGGAUAGUGAGUUCGAGGCCAGCCUCGACAAUUUACUGAGGCCCUAAGCAAUUUAGGGAGACCCUGUCUUAG
Molecule: small RNA, 127 nt
Filed under: Marmota monax (woodchuck)
Lineage: Eukaryota; Metazoa; Chordata; Mammalia; Rodentia; Sciuridae
Source: RNAcentral